AUGGUCUGUUUAUUUUUUUUUCUUAUGUCAAUGGCAGAGAGCAGAAGAAAAAGCUGUUUUUCUAAGCAGCCAUGGCAGCCAAUGAGAACAGAAACGUCAAGAUUUGAAUGGCCACACUACGGAAAUGUCUUCCUGAAAGGUCAUGGUAAAGGUUUGUGCACUUCAGGAACUUCACUACUUCUAUUAAUUUCAGGAGACAGGAGGAGUCCUAGACAUACAUCAUUAUUAAAGUGUGAGACCCUUAGCUUGUGACAGUGUAUAGCACUGCUAGCUCAGAUAAGAAAACUUGUGCUGAACUAAGAGAUAUUCUGGAUCAUGACUAGUGUGUUGUGCUUGGAAGAAGAGUGCAAAAAUUUGUGUAAAACAUCGAAGCCAGACAAAUAUGCUAGGAACCUGAAUGGUGAUUUAGAUACUAGUAUGCAAAUAUGAAAAGUGACAUUUUACUGUAGCUGCUGUGUGCUGAUCAUUCUCUUGUUUUGUAUGUCUUUCCUCCAUUUUUCAGGCAGUGCUUAAUUUAGAAGUUACUUCCAAAUGCAGGUGUCAUCCCCUUUCACCAGCAUGGUGCAUAUGCUCACCACUACUACUGACCUUCUGGAGCAAAGCUGUUGAAGCUAAAGAGGUUCUACCGAUGUCCCUUUGUCUUUAAAUUGUCCUCAUUUCAUGCAAUGCCCCAUUGGAGAAAAGGUUAUAAAUCUCAACAGAAAGCUCUAGGAAUGAAGACUGUCAGGCGGCACAAUACUGGAAGAACAGAAGAUGGAAAAAGGGAUUUGCCUCUAAGAAUGAUACUUGAAAGAUCCUAACUCCAUCCAAAUAACUCUAUGUUGCUUAAAACACUGCAUGAAUGUUUGCAUUUGUCCAAUUUGCCCUGACAUACAGAUUUUGUCUGGAUCCUUAUCUAAUGUCUACAUAUUUGUAUGUUUUUAUUAUACAUGCAUUUUCGUAUGCCUCUUUUCUAAACACAUACAUUUUGUACAUUUUUAUCAUAAAACCACACAUCAAAAUUUGAAGAAAUGUGGAAUCUGAAGAAUUACUUGUAUUCCCAUCCAUAUAGCAGUCGAGGAAGUAUGAGUUAUGUGAGUUCCCUUAAAACUGUAGACUGAUUCAAUUUCUCCCAAAGCAUUUUUUUAUUCCUUAAUUAUCCCGUAGUCCUAGACAGAGCUGUAGACAUGGAGGCAGAAAUCUGAAACCUGCUCUUCUCAUCUGCAAGUCAGGUUCAAGUCUCCAGAACCAUUGUUAUUGUUGUUGUUGCUAU
Molecule: long non-coding RNA, 1252 nt
Filed under: Pogona vitticeps (central bearded dragon)
Lineage: Eukaryota; Metazoa; Chordata; Lepidosauria; Squamata; Agamidae
Description: lncRNA (ENSPVIG00000009967.1)
Source: RNAcentral